CGAUGUGAGGGCGAUCUGGCUGCGACAUCUGUCACCCCAUUGAUCGCCAGGGUUGAUUUGGCUGAUCUGGCUGGCUAGGUGGAUGUACCCUUCCUCCCUCGCCACUCCACGUGCGUCCCUCCCGAAGCUGCACGCUCGGUGGAAGAGGACGACCAUCCCAGAUAGAAGGAGUGUACCGUUCUUCGGUCAAGGGUAUACAAUAGCUGUGCUCCCCUGCUAGAACCUCCAAAUAAGCUCAAGGUCCAUUUGUAGGAAGGGCCAAGGCAACAAAAAAGGAAAACAGAUGGCCAAAAAAUGCCCGGUGCCACAGGUUU
Molecule: small nuclear RNA, 314 nt
Filed under: Pogona vitticeps (central bearded dragon)
Lineage: Eukaryota; Metazoa; Chordata; Lepidosauria; Squamata; Agamidae
Description: 7SK RNA (ENSPVIG00000012496.1)
Rfam family: 7SK RNA
About the family: 7SK was discovered as an abundant small nuclear RNA in the mid-70s but a possible function has only recently been suggested. Two independent studies have found that 7SK RNA binds the CDK9/cyclin T complex (known as elongation factor P-TEFb).
Source: RNAcentral